AUGGAGCAAUGGGAGCAAGAGCAGGCA
RNAcentral lists this non-coding RNA (27 nucleotides) under Cricetulus griseus (Chinese hamster). The record is from RNAcentral. Lineage: Eukaryota; Metazoa; Chordata; Mammalia; Rodentia; Cricetidae.